RNAcentral lists this ribosomal RNA (247 nucleotides) under Sphaerobolus stellatus. RNAcentral's name for it is "partial 28S ribosomal RNA". It matches the Rfam family "Eukaryotic large subunit ribosomal RNA", at positions 104 to 344 of the family's 3401-position model. The record is from RNAcentral. Lineage: Eukaryota; Fungi; Basidiomycota; Agaricomycetes; Geastrales; Sphaerobolaceae.
AGAGCUCAAAUUUAAAAUCUGGCGGUCUCAGGCCGUCCGAGUUGUAGUCUAGAGAAGUGUUUUCCGUGCUGGACCGUGUACAAGUCCCUUGGAACAGGGCGUCAUAGAGGGUGAGAAUCCCGUCUUUGACACGGACUACCAGUGCUCUGUGAUGCACUCUCGAAGAGUCGAGUUGUUUGGGAAUGCAGCUCAAAUUGGGUGGUAAAUUCCAUCUAAAGCUAAAUAUUGGCGAAAGACCGAUAGCGAA